Myodes glareolus (Bank vole) is the source of this 1531-nucleotide non-coding RNA. The record is from RefSeq and is a predicted model, not a curated record. NCBI's taxonomy places the organism in Eukaryota, Metazoa, Chordata, Mammalia, Rodentia, Cricetidae.
CUUCCCCAAUUGCUUAGUCAAGGAUGCUUUAAAAUACAUGUCAGACAAUUCUGACUUCUCUGUCAUUGAGGCAUUUGGUAGAUCUUUUCUUCAUCUAUCCACAGGUCUUUCUACUUCUUGGUUAACAUAUGGUAUUUUUGGUUAAGACAGGAAAUUAUUCCACUAUGUUAUGAUACCAUAGGUUUUAUUUAUACAUUCUUUUAAUGAGCAUCCUAUGACAUUAUCCUAAUAGGAGGUGGGAAGGACCUCAUUUUUACUGCUGCACAAAUCUACACCUCAACCCUAUCAAUGCUGUAACCUUUUAAUACAGUUUGUCAUGUUAUGGUGACCCCCUCAAAAUUUGUUGCUAUUUCAUAAAUAAUUUUGCUACUGUUAUGAAUUGUAAUAUAAAUAUUGGUGUUUUCUGAAAGGGUCAUUUGAACCCAAAAGGUUCAUGACUGAUAUGUUGAGAAGUGCUGCUUUUGGAUAAAAGUACAUCUGUCUCCCAUGUAGUGCCCUCAGAAGUCAGAAGAGGGUGUUGAACCCGCCGGAACUGGAGUCACAGAUGGUUGUGAGAUGCUGUAUGAGUGCUGAGAACUAGGCCUGGGUCUACUUCAAGAACAAGCACUCUUAAAGCCAUUUUUCCAGCCAUAACACAUUUGUUCUUCAGAGAAGGCCCCCAGGUGUCCCUGGAAACCCAACUUCACCAUACAAACAAUGAUGUGCCUGUCUGUUGCCCUGCUCCCCACCAUGACAUCGAGGGACUCCUAUCCCUCUGAAACUCCACUCAAAUAUCACUUCGAAAUCAUGCAUGCUCACACGGGGCAGUCAGAGAUCCAUGCUGAAGGAUGGAGAUAGAAAACAAUUAAAGGUAUUUGUUUUCCGUAAUUAAACCAUUGUUUUUAUGACAGCUGAAACCUGUUGUAAAAACACUUCAGUGACUUACAGUGACUUUUAUCCUGAGAGGUGUUCCGGACACCUUUGACUGGCAUGCUGUGCUAGUGUGCGCAUGUGUAGUGUGUGGAUUGUGUGUUCAGAGCCACGGCUGCUCUGACAAAGUCAUCUCUGCUUUGUUAUUCUCAUCUUGAAUUUUUUGGUUUUUUGUAAGUUGAGAAAGCUUUAACUGUUGCAAAUGAUUUUGUUUGUUUGUUUGCCGCCCUGCCUUUAGGAUUUGUACACAUAGUUUAAGACGCCUUUAGUUCAUAGACUUCCCUGUGCCAAUUGCCUGGUAAGGCCACUGUAUCUUCUUGCCCUCCCUCAAAUAUGGAAUAGACUGAAUGUUCCCACUCGCGAAUGGCCUUUUGGGAAGGCGGGAGAAUGGGUACAAAGUUCCCCCAGUGGCUGAUGGCCUGUACUUAGGGAACCAAAGACUGAAAGGGGAUAAUGCUGUUGCUUCAGCCUUGGCUCAUCUGGACCUGUGGGUGGGAGGCUCUACCUCACCAGAGCAGUGGAUGUCACAGAAGCCACUGUGAAGUCACUGCCAGAGUGCACACACAGAAGUGCAAACAGAAGGCAGAAUUCUUUUUGAGUUAUGUGACCUUUAUUAUUGAAA